Molecule: long non-coding RNA, 587 nt
Filed under: Trifolium pratense (red clover)
Lineage: Eukaryota; Viridiplantae; Streptophyta; Magnoliopsida; Fabales; Fabaceae
Description: long non-coding RNA (TPRA_LNC001623)
Source: RNAcentral
GAGGAGUUGCCGAAGGGUCUUGUGAUUGUGCCGGUGGAGGAGGCGCCGAAGGAUCUUUUGAUUGUGUCCGUGGAGGUGGUGCCGAAAGGUCUUUUGAUUGUGUCGCCGAAGGGUCUUUUGAUUGUGCCGGUGGAGGAGGUGCCGAAGGAUCUUGUGAUUGUGCCGGUGGAGGAGGUACCGAAGGAUCUUUUGAUUGUGCCGGUGGAGGAGGUGCCAAAUGAUCUUUUGAUUGUGCCGGUGGAGGAGGUGCCGAAGGAUCUUGUGAUUGUGCCGAAUGAACUUUUGAUUGUGCCGGUGGAGGAGGUGCCGAAGGAUCUUUUGAUUGUGCUGAAUGAUCUUUUGAUUGUGCCGGUGGAGGAGGUGCCGAAGGAUCUUUUGAUUGUGCUAAAUGAUCUUUUGAUUGUGCCGGUGGAGGAGGUGCCGAAUGAUCUUUUGAUUGUGCUGAAUGAUCUUUUNNNNNNNNNNNNNNNNNNNNNNCUUUUGAUUGUGCCGGUGGAGGAGGUGCCGAAGGAUCUUGCGAUUGUGCCGGUGGUGGAGGUGCCGAAGGAUCUUUUGAUUGUGCCGAAGGAUCUUUUGAUGGUGCCGGU